Molecule: ribosomal RNA, 1601 nt
Filed under: Mucoromycotina sp. MIB 8353
Lineage: Eukaryota; Fungi; Mucoromycota; Endogonomycetes; Endogonales; Densosporaceae
Description: eukaryotic LSU rRNA
Rfam family: Eukaryotic large subunit ribosomal RNA (bases 581-1601)
Source: RNAcentral
GUCGAGUGACUGCGGAGGAUCAUUAAAGGUUUAUCAUGGCCGAAAGAGCUUGUCUCUUUUNNNUAACCAUGAUCUAUCCACAAUGUGCAUUUAUUGAAAUAUGCUUUGGCAAGGGCAAUUUAUUUUGUCUUUGUCAGAGAUUUUCUUUUAAUUAUAUCCUUAAUGUUUGACUGAAAUAAAAAUUUAAAAAAUUUUAAUACAACUUUCAACAACGGAUCUCUUGGCUCUCGCAUCGAUGAAGAACGCAGCGAAAUGCGAUACGUAAUGUGAAUUGCAGAAUUCAGUGAAUCAUCGAAUCUUUGAACGCAUAUUGAACUAUUUGGCCCCUAAGAGUAUGCCUGUUUCAGUAUCAGAAAUAACCAUCGAAAAAAAUAUAUUUUUUUUCGGAAUUGGGCUUUUUUGCAAAUUUUUUCUUUUAAUGAUUUGCUGGCCUAAAAUAUAAUCACGAUGGCUAUUGAGUCUUCGUAGGCGUCAUAGUUGGCCUUUAUUGUGUCAAUCUUUCGCGCUGAAUCGAAAUGUCUCUUAUGUCUUUAUAUCGUGCAUUUUUUAUAAUUUUUUUUAAAAAAAUAAUUUUUCAACUUGAUCUGAAAUCAGGUAAGAUUACCCGCUGAACUUAAGCAUAUCAAUAAGCGGAGGAAAAGAAACCAACAAGGAUUCCCUUAGUAACGGCGAGUGAAGCGGGAAAGCUCAAAUUUGAAAUCUGACACAUCAUACCAGUGUCCGAGUUGUAACCUAUGAGAGAUGUUUUCAGUGGGCGCCUGGGUUUAAGUCUCUUGGAAUGGGGCAUCAUAGAGGGUGAGAAUCCCGUCUUUGAUUCGGAGCAGCCUACUAUGUGAUACAUCUUCAAAGAGUCGGUUUGUUUGGGAAUGCAGACCAAAAUGGGUGGUAAAUUCCAUCUAAAGCUAAAUAUUGGCGAGAGACCGAUAGCGAACAAGUACCGUGAGGGAAAGAUGAAAAGAACUUUGAAAAGAGAGUUAAACAGUACGUGAAAUUGUUGAAAGGGAAACGUUUGGAAUUAGUCUCGUAGGCAAGAAAUCAGUUUGGCUUUUGGGCCGAGUGCAUUUUCUUGUUUUACAGGUCAGCGUCAGUUUUGGUUGCCAGAAAAAAAUUGAGAGAACGUGGCUCGCUUCGGUGAGUGUUAUAGCUCUUAGCCAAUAUGGUGAUUGGGACUGAGGUCUGCAGCCAACCGGUUUUAACCGUCAGGGGACUUCAUACGCUAGUGGUAACCCUUUUAUGAAUAGCUUGCUGAUCAUGAUUGGAAUUGCUACUACUCGUUGUGAUUGUCUCUCCUUGGCUUAGGUCGCUGACUUAAUGAUUCCAAAUGACCCGUCUUGAAACACGGACCAAGGAGUCUAACAUGUCUGCGAGUAUUUGGGUGGCAAACUCAAAUGCGUAAUGAAAGUAAUGUAGGUGGGAUCCCGUAAGGGAGCACCAUCGACCGAUCUGGAUAUUUUUUGAUAGAUUUGAGUAUGAGCAGAUAUGCUGGGACCCGAAAGAUGGUGAACUAUGCCUGAAUAGGGUGAAGCCAGAGGAAACUCUGGUGGAGGCUCGUAGCGAUUCUGACGUGCAAAUCGAUCGUCAAAUUUGGGUAUAGGGCGAAG